GACAUAGGUGACGAACGUUAUCCGGAAUUAUUGGGCGUAAAGGAUGCGUAGAUGGUUCGCUAAGUUACUGGUGGGAAAUCGAGGCCCAACCUCGUGGAAGCUGGUAAUACUGUCGAGCUUGAGUGCAGGAGAGGUUAACGGAACUUUAUGUGGAGCGGUAAAAUGCGUAGAUAUAUGAAAGAACACCGAUAUAGCGAAGGCAGUUAACUAUUCUGCUACUGACAUUGAGGCAUGAAAGCGUGGGGAGCAAAACGG
RNAcentral lists this ribosomal RNA (255 nucleotides) under uncultured bacterium. RNAcentral describes it as "partial 16S ribosomal RNA". It matches the Rfam family "Bacterial small subunit ribosomal RNA", at positions 524 to 776 of the family's 1533-position model. The record is from RNAcentral.